GCCGGUGUAGCUCAGCUGGUAGAGCAACCGAUUCGUAAUCGGUAGGUCGGGUGUUCAAUUCAUCUCACCGGCA
Molecule: transfer RNA, 73 nt
Filed under: Candidatus Parabeggiatoa communis
Lineage: Bacteria; Pseudomonadati; Pseudomonadota; Gammaproteobacteria; Thiotrichales; Thiotrichaceae
Also listed under: 2 other names
Description: tRNA-Thr
Rfam family: tRNA
About the family: Transfer RNA (tRNA) molecules are approximately 80 nucleotides in length. Their secondary structure includes four short double-helical elements and three loops (D, anti-codon, and T loops).
Source: RNAcentral